Long non-coding RNA from Oncorhynchus keta (chum salmon), 762 nucleotides. RefSeq lists it as uncharacterized. The record is from RefSeq and is a predicted model, not a curated record. The transcript is spliced from 3 exons. Lineage: Eukaryota; Metazoa; Chordata; Actinopteri; Salmoniformes; Salmonidae.
CAGGUGAGGAGGUGGGACUGGUUGAACACGAGGAGACAACAUGUUAUUCUGUCAGGUGAGGAGGUGGGACUGGUUGAACAUGAGGAGACAACAUGUUAUUCUGUCAGGUGAGGAGGUGGGACUGGUUGAACAUGGGGAGACAACAUGUUAUUCUGUCAGGUGAGGAGGUGGGACUGGUUGAACAUGAGGAGACAACAUGUUAUUCUGUCAGGUGAGGAGGUGGGACUGGUUGAACAUGAGGAGACAACAUGUUAUUCUGUCAGGUGAGGAGGUGGGACUGGUUGAACAUGAGGAGACAACAUGUUAUUCUGUCAGGUGAGGAGGUGGGACUGGUUGAACACGGGGAGACAACAUGUUAUUCUGUCAGGUGAGGAGGUGGGACUGGUUGAACACAGGGAGACAACAUGUUAUUCUGUCAGGUGAGGAGGUGGGACUGGUUGAACACGGGGAGACAACAUGUUAUUCUGUCAGGUGAGGAGGUGGGACUGGUUGAACACGAGGAGACAACAUGUUAUUCUGUCAGGUGAGGAGGUGGGACUGGUUGAACAUGAGGAGACAACAUGUUAUUCUGUCAGGUGAGGAGGUGGGACUGGUUGAACAUGGGGAGACAACAUGUUAUUCUGUCAGGUGAGGAGGUGGGACUGGUUGAACACGAGGAGACAACAUGUUAUUCUGUCAGGUGAGGAGGUGGGACUGGUUGAACACGAGGAGACAACAUGUUAUUCUGUCAGGUGAGGAGGUGGGACUGGUUGAACACGAGGA